UGUAUAUUUUCUUUCCUUUGUUGAAGAGUGGGCCCCCUGCCACGUAGGAUCAUCUUCAAGCUCCAGGACACGAACGGACGAGUCGCAUGCUGCGUUUUUCAGUUUCUUCGUGUUUACUCUCCAAUUGAUUCCGGGCGUUUUAAGCCACCAUUUAACGAGCCGUUUGUUCCUACUUAAGCUCCACGCCCUCCUCUUCAUUUUUUCCCCAAACGGCACAUCCUGAGAGCCCCCAGGCUGCUCGAAUUCGAGAUCGGAGCUCCACAGCACUGCCGCACUAGUUCGUCGAAUUCGAGCAACAUCUCCAUUUUCAUCUGUGAGUUUGUCCACCGGUAGGAUUUUUCCGACGAGUGUUUCCGGACGGAGAAGUGUGCCUAGAUGUCCCGUAGGCCUACUGCUACAGCAGUGAACUUCGGAAGCCCCUUCGUCAACAUUCUGAUCAACUACCUUACCAGCAGCGUCGUAUCGUCGACUGCGUGUGCCAAGAUCGAUUGUGGUUGUGUUGAUUGCAACAAGUGUUUCUGCGAAGAGUGUACCAACUCAUCUCACCAAAGG
Molecule: long non-coding RNA, 552 nt
Organism: Lolium rigidum
Lineage: Eukaryota; Viridiplantae; Streptophyta; Magnoliopsida; Poales; Poaceae
Exons: 3
Source: RefSeq, a predicted model, not a curated record